Molecule: ribosomal RNA, 509 nt
Filed under: uncultured bacterium
Lineage: Bacteria
Description: partial 16S ribosomal RNA
Rfam family: Bacterial small subunit ribosomal RNA
Source: RNAcentral
GACGAACGCUGGCGGCGUGCUUAACACAUGCAAGUGGAGCGACGAACCAGGGCUUGCCCUGGGGCAAAGCCGCGAACGGGUGAGUAACACGUGGGUAACCUGCCCCGAUGACCGGGACAACCCGAGGAAACUCGGGCUAAUACCGGAUGCGCUCUCGAGCCACAAGGCUCGUUAGGAAAGAUAGCUUCGGCCUUCGCAUCGGGAUGGGCCCGCGGCCCAUUAGCUUGUUGGUGAGGUAACGGCUCACCAAGGCCGCGAUGGGUAGCUGGUCUGAGAGGACGAUCAGCCACACUGGGACUGAGACACGGCCCAGACUCCUACGGGAGGCAGCAGUGGGGAAUCUUGCGCAAUGCGCGACAGCGUGACGCAGCAACGCCGCGUGGGGGAAGAAGGCCUUCGGGUUGUAAACCCCUUUCAGUUGGGACGAAGGUUCGGCCGUUAAUAGCGGUCCGGACUGACGGUACCUUCAGAAGAAGCCCCGGCUAACUACGUGCCAGCCGCCGCAGUAA